Oncorhynchus nerka (sockeye salmon) is the source of this 6863-nucleotide long non-coding RNA. RefSeq lists it as uncharacterized. NCBI's taxonomy places the organism in Eukaryota, Metazoa, Chordata, Actinopteri, Salmoniformes, Salmonidae. The transcript has 3 exons. The record is from RefSeq and is a predicted model, not a curated record.
UCAUUUUUAAACUCUCCAUUGUUAACGUAGUAAGGCGUACUAAGUAAGCAAUAUAUGUAAUUGUAUUUUCUAAAACAAUUUAAUGAGUAUGCUUCAUUGUCAUAUGUUAAAGGCGCCCACCAGAGGGCAAUGCCGCCCCUAUUUCAACGUCAUGUUUGCCCUAGAACGGAAAUGCUUGUUUAGGUUCGACUUCCAAAGAAUGACGUAGGCUACUUAUACAUAUUCACGAAUUGGGGUGGGGAAAGAACAUCAUGGUGAUUUCCACGUGGAGUGGAGAAACGUCAACAAAUAGGGAACUGACAGCUUAGCUAGCUAUCCUCCUAAACGUAUCUAGCUAGCCAAUAUUGUCUAUUGUUUUAGUUUUUAAUUUUUUUUACUACACCGUAUUAAAAAGAUUAGCCAUCUGUCUAGGCUGGUUCUGGAGCUGGAUUUGUCAUAAGCAUUUAGGGAAAACGUUGCCAUAGAUGGAAACCAAACCAGUAUAUUUAGCUUUGCCAUUUAUUGUUAUCUUCAAAGUAUUGACAUUGUAAUGGACAAGGCGCAACCUUUGGUAGGUAGGCUGCUGGCAGGCUUUUCUGCAGUACAGCAAAGUCAGCCCGUGUCCAGGGUUCUCUGGGUUCUCAAAUGGGAAGUGAAAUGAUAGGCAAACAAUAACUUUUCUCAUGAUACACUUUGCAAAGGACGUGAAAACACCCUGAGCGCAUCGUUCACCAAACUCAAAUGUAACAGCAAAAUAAAAUAAAUAAAGAGGUUCCUUUUAAUAUUAUUUUUGCAGGUACCUGUUCAUUAUAGAAGAGAGGCCUAUCAUUUCACACUUUGGUUUAGUUGCACCAAUCAGAGCAGUGAGGCAUGACUUUAGUGGUCAAAACCAUUCCCUAGCUGAAGGCAGAACAGUUGAAACUGGAGCAGCAGCACACCCAGGUGGACUGGGGACAGCCGGGAGUCAUCAGGCCAGGUAGUCCUGAGGCAUGAUCCUAGGGCUCAGGUCCUCCGGGAGGAGACAGAGAGAAUUAGAGGGAGCAUACUUAAAUUCACACAGGACACCUGAUAAGACAGGAGAAUUACACCAGAUAUAACAGACUGACCCUAGCCCUCCGGCAAAUAGACUAUUGCAGCAUAGAUACUGGAGACUGGGACCAGGGGUGGGUCGGGGGACACUGGCCCCGUCCGACGAUACCCCCGGACAGGGCCAACCAGGCAGGAUAUAACCCCACCCACUUUGCCAAAGCACAAGCCCCCACACCACUAGCACUAGAGGGAUAUCAACAGACCACAAACUUACUACCCUGAGACAAGGCUGAGUAAAGCCCACCCUGAUCUCCUCCACUGCACGAGCCCAAGGGGGGAGGGCAAAACCGGACAGGAAGAUCAUGUCUGUGACUCAGCCCACUCAAGUGACGCACCCCUCCGGCAUGGAAGAGCACUAGUAAGCCAGUGAGUGACUCAGCAGGCCAGGCUUAGACAGCAAGGGUAGUUCGUCGCUCCAGUGCCUUGCUGUUCACCUUGCACCCCUGGGCCAGACUACACUCAAUCAUAGGACCUACUAAAGAGAUGAGUCUUCAGUAAAGACUUAAUGGUUGAGACCGAGUCUGUGUCUUUCACAUGGAUAGGCAGACCAUUCCAGAAAUUUGGAGCUCUAUAGGAGAAAGCCCUGCCUCCAGCUGUUUGCUUAGAAAUGUUUUGCUUCUGGUCAGGAUUCUAGCAGCCGUGUUUAGCACGAACUGAUUUUUUUUGGUGCUUUAUCUGGGUAGCCGAAGAGUAGAGCAUUGCAGUAGUCUAAUCUAGAAGUGACAAAAGCAUGGAUUUGCUUUUCUGCAUCAUUUUUGGACAAAAGUUUAGAAUUUUUUGCAAUGUUACGAAAUUUGAAAAAAGCUGUCAAUGAAAUAUUGAUAUGUUCGUCAAUAGAGAAAUCAUUGUCCAGAGUAACACCGAGGGCUUUCACAGUUUUUUUGAGAUGACUGUACAACCAUCAAGAUUAAUUGUCCUAUCCAACAGCAGAUCUCUCUUGUUUCUUGGAACCUAGAACUAGCAUCUCUGUUUAAACUCGGACAAAACAGAUACUAUUUCCAGGUCCCACGAAACAAAGAGAUCUGCUGUUGGAUCUGACAAUUAAUCUUGAUUAGGAAUGCACCGAUAUGACAUUUUUGGCUUAAACCGAUAUAUCCAAUAUUUUCCUUGCCAAAAAAACACAUACCGAUGUUUACUGUUUUAGUGGCCUUUUAAGCAUUCGAGUACAGUUAAAUAGUUGAAACAUAUACACACACACACGCACACUGACCAAACAGUUAUUUUGUUGGCAUUUACGUAUGUCCCCAUUACCAGUAAAACAUCAUCUAAUCCUAUUUACUGUACUUACUUGCUGUUUCGCUGUUCAUUUGUUCAUUCUCAACCAGGAUUUCAUCAUACAUAUGAAGCAGUGAAGUUUCAGCUCUGUCUGUCUGUGGUCUCUCUUCCUCAGUGCACACUGUCACUGUGUCUGUUUCCAUCUUGUCCAGAUGUGUAGGUAACAUUUACCGUAAACCCAGUUUCUUGUCUGCAUCAAUGUAGCGGUCCUUGUACCUAGCAUCAAACAUGAUGGCGACACAGUAGAAGCUCAGAAAGAAUGUCACUGAAUUGCUUGUUCACGGCCUCUAGUAGAGUACUUUUCCAAAUUAACUUCCGACAUGGACAGUGGGGUUUUGUUGAGCAGGUGUUUCAAUACCAUGACAGAGGGUAUCACGUCUGCUGCAGAUGCAGUUGAUGAGCUUAUUUCUCGAGCCAGUUGUCAGCCCCAUGAGCAUGCUGACAUCACUGGUCCAAAUGUCAGUCGUGAAGCUAAUAGCAGUGUAGCUCACGGAUGUGCGUUUCAAGAAUACUAUUGUAACUCCGGUAGGGCAACAUCUGAAAAAUAGCGCCUACUUGGCAGUGUGUACCGGGGCUCGAGGUGCUCGACCAGUCAGCGAAAGCCAACAUCAUCCAUGUCAGAGAAUGGCUGAUUGUGAAGGGCAAUGAAUUCUAUUGUCUUGGCGAUAAUGGAUUUCAACUUUGAGUUGUCUCGCUGAAAUUUUCUUACUCUUUCAAAUGACUGUUGGACUUGUUGACUGCUCGAUCCACACAGCAGAAAUUGUGGACUAGGUUAGGAAUGCUGUGUUGCACGUGUAGAGCUAUAUUUUUUGUGGCAUCAUUACGUCAUCUACCUAGGUAUGCACGUCACCUUUGACAUCGGCGUUAAACUAGACAUUGGGCCCAUGCUGAUGUUGGCAUUUUCAGCUAAUAUCGGCCAAUUCUGAUAUGCUUAUCGAUAUAUCGUGCAUCCCUAAUCUUGAUGGUUGUACAGUUCUCUCAAACAAUGAAUUAUUGAAUUCAAUUGUUAUGCAACAUUGUGGGUAAUCACUGGGGAUCGUCUUUCAGUAAAAAAAGUGAAUGUCUGCUUGUGGUACAUUCAUUAUUUUAUAUUACACCAAUUUGCCCAAUGUGGACAGUUACUACAUUACACAAGCUCACAUUUUUACCACAUAAAAUGUUGUGGAAUUACACAAUAUUUUGCUUCUUUAUAAAAGUUUAUAGUCAUCACAAGUAUAUUGAAUUGAUUGCUUUAAACAGAUUCAUACAGUUGAAGUCGGGUAGUUUACAUACAUCUUAGCCAAAUACAUUUAAACUCAGUUUUUCACAAUUCCUGACAUUUAAUCCUAGUAAAAAUUCCCUUUCUUAAGUCAGAUAGGAUCACCACUUUAUUUUAAUAAUGUGAAAUGUCUGAAUAAUAGUAGGGAGAAUGAUUUAUUUCAGUUUAUUUUCUUUCAUCACAUUCCCAGUGGGUCAGAAGUUUACAUCCACUCAAUUAGUAUUUGGUAGGAUUGCCUUUAAAUUGUUUAACUUGGGUCAAACGUUUAGGGUAGCCUUCCACAAGCUUCCCACAAUAAGUUGGGUGAAUUUUGGCCCAUUCCUCCUGACAGAGCUGGUGUAACUGAAUCAGGUUUGUAGGCCUUCUUGCUCACACACGCUUUGUCAGUUCUGCCCCCAAAUGUUAUAUGGGAUUGAGGUCAGGGCUUUGUGAUGGCCACUCCAAUAUCUUGACUUUGUUGUCAUUAAGCAAUUUUGCCACAACUUUGGAAGUAUGCUUGGGGUCAUUGUCCAUUUGGAAGACCCAUUUGCGACCAAGCUUUAACUUCCUGACUAGAGGUCGACCGAUUAUGAUUUUUCAAUACCAUUACCGAUUAUUGGAGGACCAAAAAAGCAGAUACCGAUUAAUUGGGCAAUUUUUAAUUUUUUUAUUAUUAUUAUUUUUUACAUUUGUAAUAAUGACAAUUACAACAAUACUAAAUGAGCACUUAUUUUAACUUAAUAUAAUACAUCAAUAAAAUCAAUUUAGCCUCAAGUAAAUAAUGAAACAUGUUCAAUUUGGUUUAAAUAAUGCAAAACAAAGUGUUGGAGAAGAAAGUAAAAGUGCAAUAUGUGCCAUGUAAGAAAGCUAACGUUUCAGUUCAUUGCUCAGAACAUGAGAACAUAUGAAAGCUGGUGGUUCCUUUUAACAUGAUUCUUCAAUAUUCCCAGGUUAGAAGUUUUAGGUUGUAGUUAUUAUUGGAAUUCUAGGACUAUUUCCCUCUAUACCAUUUGUAUUUCAUUAACCUUUGACUAUUUGAUGUUCUUAUAGGCACGUUAGUAUUGCCAGUGUAACAGUAUAGCUUCCGUCCCUCUCCUGGCUCGAACCAGCAACACAACGACAACAGCCACCCUCGAAGCAGCGUUACCCAUGCAGAGCAAGGGGAACAACGACUAGAAGGCUCAGAGCGAGCGAUGUUUGAAACGCUAUUAGCGCGCGCUAACUAGCUAGCCAUUUCUCUUCGGUUACACCAGCCUCAUCUCGGGAGUUGAUAGGCUUGAAGUCAUAAACAGUGCAAUGCUUGACGCACAACGAAGAGCUGCUGGCAAAACGCACGAAAGUGCUGUUUGAAUGAAUGUUUACACGCCUGCUUCUGCCUACCACCGCUCAGUCAGAUACUAAGAUACUUGUAUGCACUUAUGCUCAGUCAGAUUAUAUGCAAUGCAGGACACGCUAGAUAAUAUCUAGUAAUAUCAUCAACCAUGUGUAGUUAACUAGUGAUUAUGAUUGAUUGUUUUUUAUAAGAUAAGUUUAAUGCUAGCUAGCAAUUUACCUUGGCUUACUGCAUUCGCAUAACAGGCAGUCUCCUUGUGGAGUGCAACGAGAGAGAGGCAGGUCGUUAUUGCAUUGGACUAGUUAACUGUAAGGUUGCAAGAUUUCUCCAAAAAGUAUGAUCUUUGUGCAGUUGCAAACCGUAGUCUGGCUUUUUUAUGGUGGUUUUGGAGCAGUGGCUUCUUCCUUGCUGAGCAACCUUUCAGGUUAUGUUGAUAUAGGACUCGUUUUACUGUGGAUAUAGAUACUUUUGUACCUGUUUCCUCCAGAAUCUUCACAAGGUCCUUUGCUGUUGUUCUGAGAUUGAUUUGCACUUUUCGCACCAAAGUACAUUCAUCUCUAGGAGACAGAACGUUUCUCCAUGCGUAGUCCCAUGGUGUUUAUACUAGCGUACUAUUGUUUGUACAGAUGAACGUGGUACCUUCAGGCGUUUGGAAAUUGCUCCCAAGGAUGAACCAGACUUGUGGAGGUCGAAAAGCACAGUUAACUUAGUGUAUGUAAACUUCUGACCCACUGGAAUUGUGAUACAGUGAGUUAUAAGUUAAAUAAUAUGUCUGUAAACAAUUGUUGGGGAAAAAAUGACUUGUCAUGCACGAAGUAGAUGUCCUAACCGACUUGCCAAAACUAUUGUUUGUUAACAAGAAAUGGGUGGAGUGGUUGAAAAAUGAGUUUUAAUGACUCCAACCUAAGUGUAUGUAAACUUCCCACUUCAACUGUAUAUUUGGCUUGGUACUGUUGAUUUUGUAUGCAUCUGUCCGUCGCAGGACUAUGAACGCCGUUAUAAUUUGAAUGCUUGAAAUGGCACAGAAAACUUGGGGCACUCUCUGUAUAAAAGCCGAUAGCCGCACGCCAAUACACCGAUUUGAGGGUCAAACUAUCACCUGAAUAACAGCCAGCCCUAGUCAGUGUUGAUAUCCUGUGCCGGGUCGUAAUUCGUUGAAGUUAAGUAACAAAGCAACUGACUUGUUUCUGGCCCGUUUCGGCAGCCUCCCAGAAUCUCCAUCUAGAUGACUGUUCAACAAAUUCUCUUCUAACCAGUGAUGUAAAAAUGAGUGUUAAUGAGUGGUAAUCUCUUUCAUGGAUAUCAUAUUGAAAUCAAUGUAACAGGAGGCAAAGGUUUUGGGUGUAUGCUCCACCGGCGGGCCACCCAUUAAGGGCGGUGCCCCACUUGUGAUUGGUCACCAAAUAUUUGUCAUAAAACAUUAGCAGUCUAAUCCAUUUGCUUUUGUCUUGUUUGUUAGUUUUUGUUCUAAAUGUCGAUCUUUUCUCGCACAUCCCUCUCCUUUUUCCUGCCUGACUCCCUCCUUCCCUUUUGAAACGGCCUAUGUGGUAUCGAUAUGAGUCAGACAUUUAUUCUAGCGCCCGGGAGGCCCGGUUCUGAAAUGAAUGCAAUCACUUUUCACCCGGGUCAAACUCCUCCCACCGGGGUAACCUGGGCCAGAUAAAUGAAUCUCCUCAUCGGAUGGGGCGCUGUUAUUUCAUCGCCACCAGACCGUUCAAAUCAAAGGAUCACAGCCGUUUGAGACUGAAAAACCAAGUGCACAGUUGGGUGCCAAACUGAUCCCCUGGUCAUGAACGGAUGCCGGGACCUACCAAAAGGAGCAAAAAACAUGUAUGGAGCCAGCACAUGGAGACUUGCAAGAUGAUGCGAUGAAGUCCAGACGGGCUUGAUCCUGAUGUGUAUGAACGGAGAUAAAACUGGCACUCGGCAUAAACAUUUUACUAGACACAA